GUCUACGCCUACGCCACCCUGAACAAGCCCGAUGUCUCAUCUCAGAAGCUGAGCAGGGUCAGGCCCGGUUAGUACUCGGGUGGGAGACCACCUAGGAAGACCAGGUGCUGUAGGCA
Molecule: non-coding RNA, 116 nt
Organism: Pteropus alecto (black flying fox)
Lineage: Eukaryota; Metazoa; Chordata; Mammalia; Chiroptera; Pteropodidae
Source: Rfam